Molecule: long non-coding RNA, 2080 nt
Organism: Homo sapiens (human)
Lineage: Eukaryota; Metazoa; Chordata; Mammalia; Primates; Hominidae
Gene: GORAB-AS1
Product: GORAB antisense RNA 1
Source: Ensembl
CAGUAUUUGAUGGGUCUGAAUGAAAAUCUGAUGAAACAGAUGUUACUUGAAGCUGAGUGACUUUCUCAGGGUCAAGCAAAUAAGUAAAUGGAGGAGCCAGAAUUAUACCCCAGGAUCCCCAUCACAAGGAGGGGAGGGCUACCAUCCCAGCUGCAAACUCUCAUUCAAGGUUUAUGCUGCAGCCAGCAGUGUCCUUGGAGUCUAGUUCAAAGCUGAAGAGAGUGAACCAUGGAACUGGGAGCCAUUGGCGGAGAGGCUGGCCUGAAGGAAGGGAAGUGUUUCAGCCAGAAUGUACUGACGCACAACCAGGAAACCACAAGACUGGUGAGAACCUUUCCAAAACUGAGCUUUAUGAUCAAAAGAGGUACAGGAAACAGCUCUGCCAAGAGUCCUUUCUGCUCCUGGCUGGAACCCUGAGCUUCUGAGGCUCUCUGAGUCAACUCUCUGAACAGAUGCUGUCACCCAAGGAACCAUCACUAAAGCAUUUUUUUGCUUUGCUCUGAGGUGGCCUCACUGGUGGGUGCAAGUGAGUUACUGUCUCUUUUUCUCUUUCUUGUUUCUUUCUUUUGACAGAAGUUGCCAUGUGAUUACUCAAUUCUGAAUUUUAGAGGCCAUAGGUUACUGCAUUUAUGCCCUUUGCCAACUGACUAUUGUUUGGUGCUGGGCCUGCAUACAAACACGACAUCCCCAAACUCUUAUCAAUACCUAGAUCACCUGAUGUGAAUCUAUCAAUACCCUGGACUUAACAGGGUAUUGAAGGAAAGAGAACCGGCAAUUCCUUCAUUUCUUACAUCCCAGCCAGUAGUCCUUCUCCCAGGCUAGUCUUCCUUUUGUUUCCCCUAAGAAUGACUCAACUAGGAAUUGCAUUCUGAUCCCUGUCACAGAUAUAAAUCUUGUCUGGAUACAAGGUCAAAAUAAUUGUGUUCCUGUGGAUUCUUUUUCUUUUUUCAACCAGAGUAACUACCAGUUGCCAUGAAAUAAAUCACAUCAUCAUAUGGCAGAUCCAGCUAAUAGCUGAGACUGGCAGGAUAACUGAACCGUGUACUCAGAGCUAAAUGAUGGAGAAAUUGGACUGGCCAUGGAGCACUUCAAAUUGAUUGCUUAGUAAUGGGAUAUUUUUCCUGGAAAGACAACAGAAUACUUCUGAAUUGUUGGUUCUGUCAUGGGUACAGGCUCCCAUGUACAGGAAAAUAAAGAAAGUGUGAUGAAUUUUUCAUCUGGCCUUCUGCCUACUUUCUUGCUUUCUGCAUGUCUCCAUUUUUAGUCUGUAAGCCCUGCCUAGAUGACCAAUCACUAUUGCCCAUGUGGCAUAAAACCUACAAUUUAACUAUACUUCUUACCAAACUCUCAGCAAGUAUGAGGUAGCCAACAGCCUUUUCAAGAUAAUGACUGAGUCUUAGCUUAGGUUUCAGUCAUUUUAGGAAACAUAAAAAAUUCAAUGGUGGGAGAUCAUACACACUCUGCAAAGAUGUCAGAAGUCAAGUUUUGGGAGAGUCCACACACAAACUGAGCAGUGAUGGUAAAAUAUAUUUUUGAAAUAUUUCUCCUCUGUGACUGUUAUGUGAAGUAGAGCAAACACAUUGUGCUGCAGUGCUCUUUGGGACAUGCCUUUUUUGGGAAGUGCUAACUUUAUACUCUGCUGACACCAAACAUUUGAAUAUAAAACCUUAUUUUUUUCUCUCACUCUGCUCCACUUUUGGCUCAGCUUAUUCUACCAAAACACACUUCAAAAGACUUCUUUAUAGAAAGAAUGUUUCAAAAAUAUAAUAUUUCCAUCUGUUAUUUCAAUAAUACAUGCUCUGGGACUCUCUUUAUGAACCACUUUCCUUUCUUUGCUCCCAUUUAGAUGUAUAAAUAUUUGAUUGUAAAGCUCUAAGGAAUAGUCAGCCAAUCGGGUCACUGAAUUGUGAACAUUCCUAACCCUAUAAUUUUGUCUGUAGCAGGCACCUCCUGCUGUGGAACUAACUGCUAAGGGAUUAUAGCAAUGUAAUCCUCAGACUGUUCCAUCUCAAGGUUACUCUGAAGUGGAGGGAAGGAAGCCGUUUUAAUUUUGAUAAAAUAAACUUUAUUUUGUAACUUU